AGAGUUUGAUCAUGGCUCAGGAUGAACGCUGGCGGUCUGCUUAACACAUGCAAGUCGAGCGGAGUGCUUCGGCACUUAGCGGCGGACGGGUGAGUAACGCGUGAGGAUCUGCCCUCAGGAUGGGGACAACAGUUGGAAACGACUGCUAAUACCCGAUGUGCCGAGAGGUGAAACUAUUUGGCCUGAGGAUGAGCUCGCGUCUGAUUAGCUAGUUGGAGUGGUAAUGGCACACCAAGGCGACGAUCAGUAGCUGGUCUGAGAGGAUGAUCAGCCACACUGGGACUGAGACACGGCCCAGACUCCUACGGGAGGCAGCAGUGGGGAAUUUUCCGCAAUGGGCGAAAGCCUGACGGAGCAAGACCGCGUGGGGGACGAAGGUUUGUGGAUUGUAAACCCCUUUUGAUUGGGAAGAAGUUCUGACGGUACCAAUCGAAUCAGCAUCGGCUAACUCCGUGCCAGCCGCCGCGGUAAUAC
RNAcentral lists this ribosomal RNA (474 nucleotides) under uncultured bacterium. Its description in RNAcentral is "bacterial SSU rRNA". It matches the Rfam family "Bacterial small subunit ribosomal RNA", at positions 8 to 526 of the family's 1533-position model. The record is from RNAcentral.